GGUAAAGGAAACAAGGGCACACAGUGAAUGCCUAGGCACUAAGAGGCGACGAAGGACGCGACUAACAGCGAAAUACCACGGCGAGCAGUAAGUACGCGACGAACCGUGGGUAUCCGAAUGGGGAAACCCACCAUGUAGAAGACAUGGUAUCGUAUUUAUACGAGGCGACACGCAGGGAACUGAAAUAUCUAAGUACCUGCAGGAAAAGAAAGUAAAAACGAUUCCGCUAGUAGCGACGAGCGAACGCGGAGUAGCCAGAUACUAUAAUAGUUACAAAACCACUAAAUAGAAGAACGGUGUGGGAAAGCCGGCCGCAGAAGGUGAGAGCCCUGUAUUUAAAAUUUAGAGGACUAGAGUAUCAAGAAGUAGGGCGGGACACGAGAAAUCCUGUUUGAAGAUGUGAGGACCAUCUCAUAAGGCUAAAUACUACUUAGUGACCGAUAGUGAACCAGUACCGUGAGGGAAAGGUGAAAAGAACCCCGGGAGGGGAGUGAAAGAGAACCUGAAACUGUGUGCUUACAAUUAGUCGAGCUCGUUAAGGAGUGAUGGCAUGCCUUUUGUAGAAUGAACCGGCGAGUUACGGUAUCUAGCAAGGUUAAGCGUGAGGGCGUGGAGCCGAAGCGAAAGCGAGUCGAAUAGGGCGAAUAAGUUAGAUGCUGUAGACCCGAAACUGAGUGAGCUAGCCAUGAGCAGGUUGAAGUUUGGGUAAGACCAAAUGGAGGACCGAACCAGGACACGUUAAAAAGUGUUUGGAUGACUUGUGGCUAGGGGUGAAAUUCCAAUCGAACUCGAGAGAUAGCUGGUUCUCUCCGAAAUAGCUUUAGGGCUAGCGUUAACGUGAAGUUUUAUGAAGGUAGAGCACUGAAUGUGUAAUGGCCCCACCUCGGGGUACUGAACUCAAUCAAACUACGAAUGUCAUAAAAUAUAGUUAGCAGUCAGACUACGGGUGAUAAGGUUCGUGGUCAAAAGGGAAAGAGCCCGCACCGUCAGAUAAGGUCCCAAAAUUUAUGCUAAGUGGAAAAGGAAGUGAAGAUGCACAAACAACUAGGAGGUUGGCUUAGAAGCAGCCAUCCUUUAAAGAGUGCGUAAAAGCUCACUAGUCGAGUGACUCUGCGCCGAAAAUGUACCGGGGCUAAGCAUAAUACCGAAUCUACGGAUUGACAAUUAGAUUGUCAGUGGUAGGAGAGCGUUCUAAGGGCGGAGAAGCAUGAUCGUAAGGACAUGUGGAGCGCUUAGAAGUGAGAAUGCCGGUGUAAGUAACGAAAAGAUAGGUGAGAAUCCUAUCCGUCGAAAACCCAAGGUUUCCAGGGGAAGGUUCGUCCGCCCUGGGUUAGUCGGGUCCUAAGGUGAGGCUGAAAAGCGUAGCCGAUGGAUAGCAGGUAGAGAUUCCUGCACCAGUUUAUGAACUGAUGGAGUGACAAAGGAGGCUAACGUCCGCCCUCUCAGUGGAUGAGGGACAAGGGAUCGAGCUUAGCGUGUAGGCAAAUCCGCACGCUAUAAAGAGUGAGAUCCGGUAGGUAAAGGAUGAUGAUGUCAAACUUUCUAGAAAAGCUUCUAGGGAUAAUUUAUAGACUGCCCGUACCGUAAACCGACACAGGUGGGUGGGUAGAGUAUACUAAGACGCGCGAGAAAACUCUUGUUAAGGAACUCGGCAAAAUGACUCCGUAACUUCGGGAUAAGGAGGACUUUUAAUGAAAAAAGAAGUCGCAGAGAAUAGGCCCAAGCGACUGUUUAUCAAAAACACAGGUCUCUGCAAAACCGUAAGGUGAAGUAUAGGGGCUGACGCCUGCCCGGUGCUGGAAGAUUAAGAGGAGAUGUUAGGUAACGAAGCAUUGAAUUGAAGUCCCAGUAAACGGCGGCCGUAACUAUAACGGUCCUAAGGUAGCGAAAUUCCUUGUCGGGUAAGUUCCGACCCGCACGAAAGGCGUAACGAUUUGGGCACUGUCUCAACAAGAGACUCGGUGAAAUCAAGCUGCCGGUGAAAACGCCGGCUACCCGCGACAGGACGAAAAGACCCCAUGGAGCUUUACUGUAACUUGAUAUUGACAUUGGGUGUAAGAUGUACAGGAUAGGUGGGAGACGUAGAAUGCGGGACGCUAGUUUCGGAGGAGUCGACCUUGGGAUACCACCCUUCGUGCAUUUGAUGUCUAACCCGCGUAAGUGGAUUACGGGGGACAGUGUCUCGUGGGCAGUUUGACUGGGGCGGUCGCCUCCUAAAGAGUAACGGAGGCGCUCGAAGGUACCCUCGAGAAUGGUUGGAAAUCAUUCGUAGAGUGCAAAAGCAUAAGGGUGCUUGACUGCGAGACCUACAAGUCGAGCAGGGACGAAAGUCGGAUUUAGUGAUCUCUCGGUGCAGUAUGGAAUGGCCGAGACUCAACGGAUAAAAGCUACCCUGGGGAUAACAGGCUUAUCGCUUCCAAGCGUUCACAGCGACGAAGCGGUUUGGCACCUCGAUGUCGGCUCGUCGCAUCCUGGAGCUGGAGAAGGUUCCAAGGGUUGGGCUGUUCGCCCAUUAAAGCGGCACGCGAGCUGGGUUGAACGUCGUGAGACAGUUCGGUCUCUAUCCGUCGUGGGCGUUGGAGAUUUGAAGGGAGCUGCCCCUAGUAUGAGAAGACCGGGGUGGACAUACCACUGGUGUACCAGUUGGCCUGCCAGGGCCACAGCUGGGUAGCUAAGUAUGGACGGGAUAAACGCUGAAAGCAUCUAAGCGUGAAGCCCCCUUAAGAUGAGAUCUCCCAAUUUAGUAAGACCCCUUAUAGACGAUGAGGUUGAUAGGCUAGGUGUGGAAGCACAGUGAUGUGUGAAGCUGACUAGUACUAAUAGGUCGAGGACUUUACCUA
This 2840-nucleotide ribosomal RNA is filed under the name Mycoplasmatota bacterium. RNAcentral describes it as "Tenericutes bacterium 23S ribosomal RNA". It matches the Rfam family "Bacterial large subunit ribosomal RNA". The record is from RNAcentral. Lineage: Bacteria; Bacillati; Mycoplasmatota.